Molecule: ribosomal RNA, 1505 nt
Filed under: Mesomycoplasma conjunctivae
Lineage: Bacteria; Bacillati; Mycoplasmatota; Mycoplasmoidales; Metamycoplasmataceae
Description: Mycoplasma conjunctivae 16S ribosomal RNA
Rfam family: Bacterial small subunit ribosomal RNA
Source: RNAcentral
AACGCUUGCUGUGUGCCUAAUACAUGCAUGUUGAACGGGAUGUUUUAGUUUACUAGAACAUUUAGUAGCGAAUGGGUGAGUAACACGUACCUAACCUACCUUUAGGAUUGGGAUAACUACUGGAAACAGUAGCUAAUACCGAAUAUAAUAUUUUUUCGCAUGAAGAAAUAUAGAAAGGAGCCUUUAAAGCUUCACCUAGAAAUGGGGGUGCGGAACAUUAGUUAGUUGGUGAGGUAAUGGCUCACCAAGACAAUGAUGUUUAGCGGGGCCAAGAGGUUGUACCGCCACACUGGGACUGAGAUACGGCCCAGACUCCUACGGGAGGCAGCAGUAAGGAAUUUUCCACAAUGAGCGAAAGCUUGAUGGAGCGACACAGCGUGCAGGAUGAAAUCCCUCGGGAUGUAAACUGCUGUUAUAAGGAAAGAAAAAAUCAAAUAGGAAAUGAUUUGAUCUUGACGGUACCUUAUUAGAAAGCGACGGCAAACUAUGUGCCAGCAGCCGCGGUAAUACAUAGGUCGCAAGCGUUAUCCGGAAUUAUUGGGCGUAAAGCGUCCGUAGGUUUUUUGUUAAGUUUAAGGUUAAAUACUGAAGCUCAACUUCAGCCCGCUUUAGAUACUGGCAAAAUAGAAUUAUGAAGAGGUUAGCGGAAUUCCUAGUGUAGCGGUGGAAUGCGUAGAUAUUAGGAAGAACACCAAUAGGCGAAGGCAGCUAACUGGUCAUACAUUGACACUAAGGGACGAAAGCGUGGGGAGCAAACAGGAUUAGAUACCCUGGUAGUCCACGCUGUAAACGAUGAUCAUUAGUUGGUGGUAUUAAAUCACUAACACAGCUAACGCGUUAAAUGAUCCGCCUGAGUAGUAUGCUCGCAAGAGUGAAACUUAAAGGAAUUGACGGGAACCCGCACAAGCGGUGGAGCAUGUGGUUUAAUUUGAAGAUACGCGUAGAACCUUACCCACUCUUGACAUCCUUGCAAAGCUAUAGAGAUAUAGUGGAGGUUAACAAGAUGACAGAUGGUGCAUGGUUGUCGUCAGCUCGUGUCGUGAGAUGUUAGGUUAAGUCCUGCAACGAGCGCAACCCCUUUCUUUAGUUACUAACGUGAAAGACGAGGACUCUAAAGAUACUGCCUGCGUAAGCCGGAGGAAGGUGGGGACGACGUCAAAUCAUCAUGCCUCUUACGAGUGGGGCAACACACGUGCUACAAUGGCUACUACAAAGAGACGCAAGACGGUGACGUUAAGCAAAUCUCAAAAAAGUAGUCCCAGUUCGGAUUGAAGUCUGCAACUCGACUUCAUGAAGUCGGAAUCGCUAGUAAUCGCAGAUCAGCUACGCUGCGGUGAAUACGUUCUCGGGUUUUGUACACACCGCCCGUCACACCAUGGGAGUUGGUAAUGCCCAAAGUCGGUGAGUUAACUUCGGAGACCAUUGCCUAAGGCAGGACUGAUGACUGGGGUGAAGUCGUAACAAGGUAUCCCUACGAGAACGUGGGGAUGGAACACCUCCUUUCU